AUAAAGCAGGAUGGAAGAACCGUCUUUGUUCCAGACGAUGCGCUUAAUUUCUGUAAUGGACAACAGGCUCAUUGAUUUCAACGACACAGCAUCCAUCAGUUCAAAACUCACGUGAGGACUUCGGCAAACUCCCCAGGUUUGUCAUCCUACUUGGCUUUGGAAUCCACCACUGGGUAAAAA
Etheostoma spectabile (orangethroat darter) is the source of this 180-nucleotide long non-coding RNA. RefSeq lists it as uncharacterized. NCBI's taxonomy places the organism in Eukaryota, Metazoa, Chordata, Actinopteri, Perciformes, Percidae. The transcript is spliced from 2 exons. The record is from RefSeq and is a predicted model, not a curated record.